This 425-nucleotide ribosomal RNA is filed under the name uncultured bacterium. Its description in RNAcentral is "partial 16S ribosomal RNA". It matches the Rfam family "Bacterial small subunit ribosomal RNA", at positions 354 to 796 of the family's 1533-position model. The record is from RNAcentral.
GUGGGGAAUAUUGGACAAUGGGCGCAAGCCUGAUCCAGCCAUGCCGCGUGAGUGAUGAAGGCCUUAGGGUUGUAAAGCUCUUUCACCGAUGAAGAUAAUGACGGUAGUCGGAGAAGAAGCCCCGGCUAACUUCGUGCCAGCAGCCGCGGUAAUACGAAGGGGGCUAGCGUUGUUCGGAAUUACUGGGCGUAAAGCGCACGUAGGCGGAUAUUUAAGUCAGGGGUGAAAUCCCAGAGCUCAACUCUGGAACUGCCUUUGAUACUGGGUAUCUCGAGUAUGGAAGAGGUGAGUGGAAUUCCGAGUGUAGAGGUGAAAUUCGUAGAUAUUCGGAGGAACACCAGUGGCGAAGGCGGCUCACUGGUCCAUUACUGACGCUGAGGUGCGAAAGCGUGGGGAGCAAACAGGAUUAGAAACCCCUGUAGUCC